GUGAGGAAUAUUGGUCAAUGGACGAGAGUCUGAACCAGCCAAGUAGCGUGAAGGAUGACUGCCCUAUGGGUUGUAAACUUCUUUUAUAAGGGAAUAAAGUGAGGGACGUGUCCCUUUUUGUAUGUACCUUAUGAAUAAGGAUCGGCUAACUCCGUGCCAGCAGCCGCGGUAAUACGGAGGAUCCAAGCGUUAUCCGGAUUUAUUGGGUUUAAAGGGAGCGUAGGUUGACAUAUAAGUCAGCUGUGAAAGUUUACGGCUCAACCGUGAAAUUGCAGUUGAUACUGUAUGUCUUGAGUGUACAAGAGGUGGGCGGAAUUCGUGGUGUAGCGGUGAAAUGCUUAGAUAUCACGAAGAACUCCAAUUGCGAAGGCAGCUCACUGGGGUACAACUGACACUGAGGCUCGAAAGUGUGGGUAUCAAACAGGAUUAGAAACCCUGGUAGUCC
Molecule: ribosomal RNA, 445 nt
Filed under: uncultured bacterium
Lineage: Bacteria
Description: partial 16S ribosomal RNA
Rfam family: Bacterial small subunit ribosomal RNA
Source: RNAcentral